This 484-nucleotide ribosomal RNA is filed under the name uncultured bacterium. RNAcentral describes it as "partial 16S ribosomal RNA". It matches the Rfam family "Bacterial small subunit ribosomal RNA", at positions 36 to 507 of the family's 1533-position model. The record is from RNAcentral.
CUUUCCCUCUGGCGGCAGGCCUAACACAUGCAAGUCGAGCGGAUGAAGGGAGCUUGCUCCUGGAUUCAGCGGCGGACGGGUGAGUAAUGCCUAGGAAUCUGCCUGGUAGUGGGGGAUAACGUCCGGAAACGGGCGCUAAUACCGCAUACGUCCUGAGGGAGAAAGUGGGGGAUCUUCGGACCUCACGCUAUCAGAUAAGCCUAGGUCGGAUUAGCUAGUUGGUGGGGUAAAGGCCUACCAAGGCGACGAUCCGUAACUGGUCUGAGAGGAUGAUCAGUCACACUGGAACUGAGACACGGUCCAGACUCCUACGGGAGGCAGCAGUGGGGAAUAUUGGACAAUGGGCGAAAGCCUGAUCCAGCCAUGCCGCGUGUGUGAAGAAGGUCUUCGGAUUGUAAAGCACUUUAAGUUGGGAGGAAGGGCAGUAAGUUAAUACCUUGCUGUUUUGACGUUACCAACAGAAUAAGCACCGGCUAACUUCGUG